Molecule: ribosomal RNA, 492 nt
Filed under: uncultured bacterium
Lineage: Bacteria
Description: partial 16S ribosomal RNA
Rfam family: Bacterial small subunit ribosomal RNA
Source: RNAcentral
AGUGAACGCUGGCGGUAGGCCUAACACAUGCAAGUCGAACGGCAGCACAGUAAGAGCUUGCUCUUACGGGUUGCGGGUGGCGGACGGGUGAGGAAUACAUCGGAAUCUACUUUUUCGUGGGGGAUAACGUAGGGAAACUUAAGCUAAUACCGCAUCCGACCUACGGGUGAAAGCAGGGGAUCUUCGGACCUUGCGCGAUUGAAUGAGCCGAUGUCGGAUUAGCUAGUUGGCGGGGUAAAGGCCCACCCAGGCGACGAUCCGUAGCUGGUCUGAGAGGAUGAUCGGCCGCACUAGAACGGGGACACGGACCAGGCGCCUGCGAGAGGCAGCAGUGGGGAAUAUUAGGCAAUGGUCGCAAGCCUGAUCCAGCCAUACCGCGUGGGUGAAGAAGGCCUUCGGGUUGUAAUGCCCUUUUGUUGGGAAAGAAAAGCAUCAGGUUAAUACCCCGCGGUACUGACGGUACCCAAAGAAGAAGCACCGGCUAACUUCGUG